UACGUAGGGUGCGAGCGUUAAUCGGAAUUACUGGGCGUAAAGGGCGCGUAGGCGGUCAGCACAAGUCAGUUGUGAAAUCUCCGGGCUUAACUCGGAAAGGUCAACUGAUACUGUGCGACUAGAGUGCGGAAGGGGCAACUGGAAUUCUCGGUGUAGCGGUGAAAUGCGUAGAUAUCGAGAGGAACACCUGCGGCGAAGGCGGGUUGCUGGGCCGACACUGACGCUGAUGCGCGAAAGCCAGGGGAGCGAACGGG
This 254-nucleotide ribosomal RNA is filed under the name uncultured bacterium. RNAcentral's name for it is "partial 16S ribosomal RNA". It matches the Rfam family "Bacterial small subunit ribosomal RNA", at positions 524 to 776 of the family's 1533-position model. The record is from RNAcentral.